UAAUACAGAGGGGGCAAGCGUUAUUCGGAAUUAUUGGGCGUAAAGGGCGCGUAGGCGGCCUGGCAAGUGGAAGGUGAAAUCCCUCGGCUUAACCGAGGAACUGCCUCCCAAACUGCUUGGCUUGAGACCGGGAGAGGUGAGUGGAAUUCCCAGUGUAGCGGUGAAAUGCGUAGAUAUUGGGAGGAACACCAGUGGCGAAGGCGGCUCACUGGACCGGUACUGACGCUGAGGCGCGAAAGCGUGGGGAGCAAACGGGAUUAGAUACCCCGGUAGUCCACGCCGUAAACGAUGAGUGCUUGGUGUAGCGGGUAUCGACCCCUGCUGUGCCGAAGUCAACACAUUAAGCACUCCGCCUGGGGAGUACGGUCGCAAGGCUG
Molecule: ribosomal RNA, 377 nt
Filed under: uncultured bacterium
Lineage: Bacteria
Description: bacterial SSU rRNA
Rfam family: Bacterial small subunit ribosomal RNA
Source: RNAcentral